CGAGUGGCGAUGCCUUUCGUAAAUAUCCGAAUCGUUAGCAUAGUCAAGAGACACAUCAGCCUACCCCUCUAACUAAGUGGUGUUGAGUUUUGUAUGUUCAUCCCAUAAGGAAGGUGCUCUAGGUUAGAUCUCUUGUUGAAGCUCUGGCUUCAAGAGGUGUCUUUUGACUUGAUAAUACAACUGUAGAGGAGUUCAUCUAAAUAUACCGGCAGCAAAAUCCAACCUAUAAAAUACUUUGAAUUGUGUAGGAUAGUAGUCAUUGGAAGACAAUACUUCAAACAUACGAAUCUAUAUCUGUAUUCCUAUAAGUCAUAGGCUGCCUGUGGCUGCGGAUGAUAGAAUCUAGUAUACGACUCAGAACCUAAUACGUCUAGAGAUUCUAUUCCAUAUGUGAGGUCAUUUGUAGCUGCAUCAUGUCCUCUUGAAUGACUUUGAAGAGCAUGUCUCUUGUAUACAAUCGUAUUCUCAUGGGCUCUAUCAGAUCGUAUCUCAGAAACGGUGGUCUUAUAUUUUUCAUUCUUUCUGGACAGCAGAUCUAUGACCACUAGAACUAUCAUCGUUGCUGCUUUUGAUCUCUGAAUCUGAAUAAAUUGGCUCAUCCACACUCUUCAUGGGG
RNAcentral lists this long non-coding RNA (616 nucleotides) under Phoenix dactylifera (date palm). RNAcentral describes it as "long non-coding RNA (PDAC_LNC016753)". The record is from RNAcentral. Lineage: Eukaryota; Viridiplantae; Streptophyta; Magnoliopsida; Arecales; Arecaceae.